CAAUCAAACUCUACAGAUGGAUGUAUCUCUUAAUAUUCCAGAAUGGGAGAUGUGCAGAGACUGCCAGAUAGAAGGAAAGCAAUGUGGAUUUAGCCGCAGAAGAAACCAAACUGCCUGCUUAGCGAGGCGCCAUGGAACAACAAACAUUGGGCUCAUAGUUGGUGAGUCCUUGUACCACUUUAAUAUGUAUUCUUGAGCAAACAAUUAUUUGAGAAAAUAAAUUCUACAUAGUCAAUUCAUUAGAACUAAAUAUAAAUUUUAUAAUAUUACUAGUUCAAUCUCUUUAUUGAUUC
This is a long non-coding RNA of Zingiber officinale, 293 nucleotides long. RefSeq lists it as uncharacterized. NCBI's taxonomy places the organism in Eukaryota, Viridiplantae, Streptophyta, Magnoliopsida, Zingiberales, Zingiberaceae. The transcript is spliced from 2 exons. The record is from RefSeq and is a predicted model, not a curated record.